RNAcentral lists this ribosomal RNA (253 nucleotides) under uncultured bacterium. RNAcentral's name for it is "partial 16S ribosomal RNA". It matches the Rfam family "Bacterial small subunit ribosomal RNA", at positions 524 to 776 of the family's 1533-position model. The record is from RNAcentral.
GACAGAGGGUGCAAACGUUGCUCGGAAUUACUGGGCGUAAAGCGCGUGUAGGCGGGCUAGUAAGUCGGACGUGAAAUCCCUGGGCUCAACCCAGGAACUGCAUCCGAAACUAUUAGUCUUGAGUGGUGGAGAGGAAAGCAGAAUUCCUGGUGUAGAGGUGAAAUUCGUAGAUAUCAGGAGGAACACCGGUGGCGAAGGCGGCUUUCUGGACACUAACUGACGCUGAGACGCGAAAGCGUGGGGAGCAAACAGG